Molecule: long non-coding RNA, 1022 nt
Organism: Mustela erminea (ermine)
Lineage: Eukaryota; Metazoa; Chordata; Mammalia; Carnivora; Mustelidae
Exons: 6
Source: RefSeq, a predicted model, not a curated record
GUCUAGGAGUGCUCAGAGACUGAAAUAGGGCAAGAGAGCAGCAAGGCUGGGGAAUGAGUCUGAUAUGCCCCAAUGCUGAACACAGCCUUCUCUGCCUUGGCUUCAGGCUUAAAGAGUGGCCAGGGACCCCAGGCUGGGACAUUGAGUAGGCACUGCCUUCAUACGGAAGACUGAAUAUAUAGAUGGCCAUUAAAAUAAUUUUUCAAAAUGAUAAACUCGUUUACCAGGCUACCAAGAUAAAUCUGCUCCUGGGAAUUGCAUUUUGGUGUGCCUGGGAGCAGUCACGUGCUGGAGAGUUGAAAGGGGUAUUGAUCAGGAUCUGUGAGCUGCAGACCCCAUGCCAAUCCAGAGCGUUUCUGGCAAUCAGUGUCGCCCAUGAAUUGCAGCUGUCUGUGUGGCUCCCGAAAAGAAAUCUUCAGAAAAGUCCCCCCCUUAUCAAACACUUCAUCCGUUCAGGGAAGCUCCUGGAGGAAGACAGGGAGAGGAACAAGUUGAGACGGAGGAUCAUGUGUUUGAAUGUGUUAAGUGUAGAUGUCUGUUCAGUGUUCCAGAGAAAAUAUUAGGUUGGCAUUUGGAUAUGAGUCAGGAGUUCAGUCCCUCUGGCUAAGACUCCUGGUACUAUAUUGAAUAGGAGAAGUGAGACUGGGAAUUCUGGCCUUGCGCUGGAUCUUAGAGGGAAAGAUUUCAACUUUUCCUUGUUGAAUAUGAUAUUAUCUAUGAGCUUUUUGUAAAUGGACUUUAUUGUAUUGAGUUCAACCACUGAAGACCUUAUGAAAAAAGCAGUACGCCGAGAAGGCACACAAAAUCUACCAUCAAGACUUCAACACCAAGGCUUCCAUCGCAUUGUUCUAGAACAAAGCUGCGAGUCUGGAAAUGGAACACAGCAAGGAUGUGCGCCAUGGCUGCUGGGCUGGCAAUUAGUGUCCUCACUUAGUCAGGCCAAGCCAAUUGGACCUUUAACUGACCUCUGUGUUCAACAAAAAAGUCAACUAAUGUCCUGGUAACAGUUGCUGAAGUAUGGA